AUGCACGCUGGCGGCGUGCCUCAUCCAUGCAAGUCGAGCGAACAGACGAGGAGCUUGCUCCUCUGACGUUAGCGGCGGACGGGUGAGUAACACGUGGAUAACCUACCUAUAAGACUGGGAUAACUUCGGGAAACCGGAGCUAAUACCGGAUAAUAUAUUGAACCGCAUGGUUCAAUAGUGAAAGACGGUUUUGCUGUCACUUAUAGAUGGAUCCGCGCCGCAUUAGCUAGUUGGUAAGGUAACGGCUUACCAAGGCAACGAUGCGUAGCCGACCUGAGAGGGUGAUCGGCCACACUGGAACUGAGACACGGUCCAGACUCCUACGGGAGGCAGCAGUAGGGAAUCUUCCGCAAUGGGCGAAAGCUUGACGGAGCAACGCCGCGUGAGUGAUGAAGGUCUUCGGAUCGUAAAACUCUGUUAUUAGGGAAGAACGAAUGUGUAAGUAACUAUGCACGUCUUGACGGUACCUAAUCAGAAAGCCACGGCUAACUACGUG
RNAcentral lists this ribosomal RNA (496 nucleotides) under uncultured bacterium. Its description in RNAcentral is "partial 16S ribosomal RNA". It matches the Rfam family "Bacterial small subunit ribosomal RNA", at positions 29 to 507 of the family's 1533-position model. The record is from RNAcentral.